Molecule: long non-coding RNA, 7826 nt
Filed under: Vitis vinifera (wine grape)
Lineage: Eukaryota; Viridiplantae; Streptophyta; Magnoliopsida; Vitales; Vitaceae
Description: long non-coding RNA (VVIN_LNC006101)
Source: RNAcentral
UUUUAAAGGAAUUGUAUGGAUUGGGGGCACGAAGAAUAGCUGUUUUCGGUGCACCUCCGUUAGGGUGCCUGCCAUCACAGAAAAGCAUAGCAGGAGGGAUAGAAAGAGAGUGUGUAGAGAAUUACAAUGAAGCAUGCAAGUUAUUCAACACUAAGCUCUCAUCUGGAUUGGAUUCUCUCAACACCAACUUUCCCCUUGCAAAGUUUGUGUAUAUUGAUAUUUAUAACCCCUUGCUUGAUAUCAUCCAAAACCCUCAAAAAUCAGGUAAUACCUCUUGUUUUGUUUUGUUCUGUUUUUGGGUUUUCUUUCAUGGGUAUUCCCCUAAAUUGUUUCAGGAUUUGAAGUAGCGAAUAAAGGAUGCUGUGGCACGGGGUUAAUAGAGGUUGCAUUGCUAUGUAACCGAUUGAAUCCGUUUACUUGUAAUGAUGUGACCAAGUAUGUAUUUUGGGACAGUUAUCAUCCUACAGAACGAGUGUACAAGAUUCUAAUAGGUAGGAUCAUCCAGGAAUACGUGGGCAGCUUCCUCUGAUCAAACUCAGCUCGCUGAUUUAUGUCCUACCCACAGCCCAUAUGGCAUGCUCCAUCCUCUGCCCUGAUUGUUUGUAAUGGUGAAAUUGAAUGUUAUCCUCUUGUUUUUUUUCUUUUUAUUUGGUAAUAACAGUUUGAUAUGAUUUUCAAACUGUAUCAAAUCCCAAUACAGCAUAUUCAAACACCUAAAGCAAUUUCCUUGGAGGAAAACCAAAUGGAAGGUGUUGUAAUGGAAGGGUUCCCUCUGACUGGAUUGCUACCUGUAAUUUCUCACAAGUUGCAUAUUUUCAAAUAAUGAUGCUUCAUAAAUUCAUAAGUCACUAUUACCAAGUAUUUUUUAUCCUACCUGCACUGGAAAUCACAUAAUUUAUGAGAAAAAUGAUUUAAUUUUUGCUAUCCCAAACGGAUCUCUAAUAGACCUAAUAUCUCAAAAUGCCUGUUAGGUUAAAUCAACUGUAUUUGUAAUGUUUCUCCCAUUUGAAGUGGCAACAAAGGAAGCAAAAAUGGUAAUUCCUCAGUUGGGUUUGAUUUGAAUCAGAAACAAAUCAUGGUUAAGCAUAUAUACUCAAAUUUCAUCUUGGAUUGGAAUAAAUUGUUGACAAUUUGAAACUUUUGAUGAAUGGCUCCAAAUUUGAAGCCCUAUGGCAUUGUUGGAAUAAAUUAAUUAGCUCUAUUUUAGAAGAAAUUUUGAAUUAGGGUAAAGAUUUGUGAUAAAAAAAAUUGAGUGGUCCUUCUUAUAUUGUCAAGUUUGAUCAGAGGCAAUUAAAAAAAGAUAGUUAUGUUUAUUUAUCAAGUUCAUCUACAUUUUUUUUGUUGGCACACCGAUAUGUGUAUACUUUCAAGUCUCAUUAUUUAUAUUUUAGUGUCAUAUGAUGUCAUGUAUCCUUAGUUAACGAUUUAAAUCCCAUCAUAUAUAUUCAAUAGUUUGAAUUUCAUCAUAUAUAUUCAAUAGUUUGAAUUUGGGUUUCGAUAAAUACUACUUGAUAGCUUAGCCUUUUGCUUAUUUACCACUUUCCCUUACCCUCAUUUUAAUUUUAUCCCACAAUAAUUGGAAUUAUCAAACAUUAUAAAAUUUUCGAUAAUAAAAUAGUUAAGCAAUGCUUGAUCCCCUUGAAAACAAAUUUUAGGUAAUUAAAAAUGUUUUGCUUGAGUGGAAGGCUUAUUUGCAAUUUUAAUUUUGUAGCAAGAGCUGGUAAAAAAUUUAAUAGGCCACAAGAAGCAAUUUGCAAGUCAUCAUUUAAACCAAAUGAACUAAGGGAAAAUUGUGUUUUCAACUCAUAUAGGCUUGAUAAUUAAGGUAAAGUCCUCCGACCACCCUUAAUUGAUUACAAGGAUAUGAGAUAGUAAUUGACAAAAAUACCCAUUUGACUUAUUUUUGUCUUUAUUCUACCACUCUUCACAUGCUACUAUUCUUUCUUAUUUAAUCAUUUUUAGAUUUUUCAUUAUUUGUUUAAACUAUUUUAUAAAUAAUUGAAAAAUCAACAUUAUUUUUUAUUUUUAAAUUAUAAAUAAAAAAAAUUAUAUUAAUGAUUCAAAGACUAUUUUGGAAAAUACUUUCUAAAAAAAUAUUAAUUUAAAUAAAUAAAAAUUAUUUUUUAGAUUUAUUUUUAUCUUUUACAUUUUAGAAGUAAAUAAUUUAAUGAUUAAAGCACUGUUUAAAAUAAAUAUAUUCACUAUUUUAAUUUUAUACUAAAAAGUAUUUUAAAGUUUUUUUUUACUAUUAUAAAAUAAAAAGUUUAAUUUUUUUUAAUCUUCUUCCUUCUUUAUUUUAAUAACUUUUUAAACAUGACUUUUAGUAAUAAGUUAUAUGAAAUGUUACAAAUUUGUUUACUAAGGAUUUUUUUUAAUAAUUUGAAUUAAUUGAAAAUUUAUUAAAAUAAGAAAAAGAAAAAGAAAGAAAGAGGAUAGAUAAAGAGUUUUUAUUUUAAGUACUCAAUUAAAAUGCUUUCAUAUGACCUAAUUUUAGAAGUGUAUUAUAUCAAUAGAUAGUAGAGAUUGAAUUUUUCUUAUAUAAAAAUGUUGAAAGAUAUAUUUACUUAUUUUAAAUGAAAACAAGUAGUUAAAAAUUAUAUAGAUUAUAUUUGAGUUUGGUUUUAAAAUAUUUUUCUAGUUUUUAUUUUUUAUUUUUUAUUUUUAUUUUUAAAAUAAUUUUUAUUUUCUAUAUUGUCUCUUUUUGAAAAUAUGUUUAAUUUAAAAAUGAAAACAAUUUUUAAAAAUGAAAAUUGAAAACCUUGUUUAGUACUAUUUUUUAUAUGAAAAAAAAAUCAUUUAUUCAUUUAUUGCGUCGUUGUACAAUUGUAUUACACUAAUUGUACAAGGGAAAUGUAGUAAGUGUACAAAGGUGUACAAGGCUAUCCUUUGCGAAAUAUUACAAUCGAUUAUGAGUCAUUAUUUUAUUUUUCUUAUCACUCACGAAUUGUACAUAUAUAUCAUGCAUUUUAUUUAAUUUCCACACGGAAAUUUCAAUACUUUCCUUAAUAAUGAUAUAUGGGGAAAUUUUUUUUGACCUUAAGUCAUCCACCAUCUUCUCAACUAAACCAUUGGAAAUAUGGUUAAAUAUUCUUACGUGGACAUAUAACUUAGAAGAGAUAUAAAAUUUGUGUCAUUGUAUAAGGGUAUUAUACUAACUAUACAAGAAAAAUAUACUAAUUGUACAAAGGUGUACAAGAUUAUCCUUUGUGAAUGAUUUCAAUCAAUUCUAAAUCACUUUUUUAUUUUCCUUGUCACCCAAGGAUUGUACACCUAUAUCAUGCACUUUAUUUAACUCUCAGAUGAAAAUUUCAAUAUUUUCCUCAAUAAUGAUAUUUGGGGAAAAAAAAAUUGACCAUAAGUCAUUCACCAUUUUGUUAACCAAACCAUUGAAAAUAUGAUUAAUACACCUAUAUGGACAUAUAACUUAGGAGAUAUAUGAAAUUUGUGUCAUUGUACAAGGGUAUUACACUAACUGUACAAGGAAAAAUGUGCCAAGUGUACAAGGGUGUACAAAGCUCCUAAUAAGUUUUGUCCGAUUUUUAAACAAUUUGAGUUUGACAUUAAGACGAUUAUUGAUAGUUUUUUUUUUUUUUUUUUACCAAACUAUGUCAUUAAGACAUUCCCUACAAAAAUUAACACAAAGGAAAUAAAAUUAAAAUCAAUCAUAUUUGAAUUGUUCAUUAUAAGUAAACUAAAUGAAAUAUAUAUUUUUACUAUUUUGCAUUUAUAAACAUAAUUUCAUUGUUAUCAAUAGAGAUUAAAAAAAUCAUAUUUAAAUGGAAUUAAAAAUAAACAAAAAUUAUUUUUAUAUCAUUUUUAUUUUUUAAAAUCAUUAAUUUAAAUUAUGAAAUUAGUUUUAAAAUUUAAAAUAUUUGUUGUAAUUAUAAUUUUGAAGAUUUCAUGAUUUUUAUCUUAUUACUUUGAAAAAAUUGCUUUAAUAAGAAAAUAUUUAUUUUAAUGGUUUUAAAUAUUUAAAUCUUUAUUAAAAAAUAUUUAGGAAUAGUGUGGAAACAAUUAGAUAAUUUUGGAAUGGAGAAAUUUUGAAUAUUUUGAAGACUUUAAUUUGGCCAAUUACCCUAUAUAUAUAUUGUGAGUGUUUACAUUAUUUUUGAAAUAAUAUGAGAAAUAAUAAAUACCAUAUGUCUAAUUUGCAAGUUAGAAAAAAAAAUUAAUAAUAUUUUAUGAGGUAUUUAAAAAGUAUUUAUUAUAUGUUCUAUAAAUUUGAAAAAAAAAUAAUAUUUGAUGAUAUAUAAUUUACAAGUUAAAACAAACAAAUAAUACUAAUAUUUUAUGAGGUGUUUAAAAAUUAUUUAAUAUAUAUGAGAAAUAAUAAAAGUUUGAAAUAAAGAAUAAUAUUUAUUAUAUAUUAUGUAAGUUGAAAAAAAGAAUAAUAUUUGAUGAGGUAUAUAAAAGUUAUUCAUUUCAAAAAUGCAUUUGGCAAUAAUAAUUUUUAACAAUAUUUUAUAUUCAAUUUGAUGAAAAAUGAUUCAACUUGGUUCCACUAUUAAAUAGGUGAGAGAAGGGUAAAAAAGUCAAAGAGAUAAUGAGAAAAGUGAGGUGAUUGAUUAGUUUUUUAUAUUUAAUAAUCAAAGGUAUUUUAGAGAUUUUUUAAAAAAAUAAUAUCCUUCCACUCAAUUUCCACUCUUUCGUUAGCUUUUGGGAUUAAUUACGAGUGAGUACCUUACCUCAAUUACCCAACCUAACUUAGUUGAAACCAUAAUUCUCCCACUGUACAAGGAAAAAUGUGCCAAGUGUACAAGGGUGUACAAAACUCCUAAUAAGUUUUGUCCGAUUUUUAAACAAUUUGAGUUUGACAUUAAGACGAUUAUUGAUAGUUUUUUUUUUUUUUUUUUACCAAAUUAUGUCAUUAAGACAUUCCCUACAAAAAUUAACACAAAGGAAAUAAAAUUAAAAUCAAUCAUAUUUGAAUUGUUCAUUAUAAGUAAACUAAAUGAAAUAUGUAUUUUUACUAUUUUGCAUUUAUAAACAUAAUUUCAUUGUUAUCAAUAGAGAUUAAAAAAAUCAUAUUUAAAUGGAAUUAAAAAUAAACAAAAAUUAUUUUUAUAUCAUUUUUAUUUUUUAAAAUCAUUAAUUUAAAUUAUGAAAUUAGUUUUAAAAUUUAAAAUAUUUGUUGUAAUUAUAAUUUUGAAGAUUUCAUGAUUUUUAUCUUAUUACUUUGAAAAAAUUGCUUUAAUAAGAAAAUAUUUAUUUUAAUGGUUUUAAAUAUUUAAAUCUUUAUUAAAAAAUAUUUAGGAAUAGUGUGGAAACAAUUAGAUAAUUUUGGAAUGGAGAAAUUUUGAAUAUUUUGAAGACUUUAAUUUGGCCAAUUACCCUAUAUAUAUAUUGUGAGUGUUUACAUUAUUUUUGAAAUAAUAUGAGAAAUAAUAAAUACCAUAUGUCUAAUUUGCAAGUUAGAAAAAAAAAUUAAUAAUAUUUUAUGAGGUAUUUAUAAAGUAUUUAUUAUAUGUUCUAUAAAUUUGAAAAAAAAAUAAUAUUUGAUGAUAUAUAAUUUACAAGUUAAAACAAACAAAUAAUACUAAUAUUUUAUGAGGUGUUUAAAAAUUAUUUAAUAUAUAUGAGAAAUAAUAAAAGUUUGAAAUAAAGAAUAAUAUUUAUUAUAUAUUAUGUAAGUUGAAAAAAAGAAUAAUAUUUGAUGAGGUAUAUAAAAGUUAUUUAUUUUAAAAAUGCAUUUGGCAAUAAUAAUUUUUAACCAUAUUUCAUAUUCAAUUUGAUGAAAAAUGAUUCAACUUGGUUCCACUAUUAAAUAGAUGAGAGAAGGGUAAAAGAGUAAAAAAGAGAAUGAAAAAAGUGAGGUAAUUGGUUAGUUUUUUAUCUUUAAUAAUUAAGGGCAUUUUAGGAAUUUUUUUAAAGAUAAUAUUCUUCUCUCAAUUUCUACUUUUUCAUUAGCUUUUGGGUUUAAAUACGAGUGAUAAAGAGGACCAUUACCCAACCUAACUUGGUUGAAAGCAUAAUUCUCCCAUGAACCAAACCCAUUACGUCUUACAACACCUCAUAGCUGCAGGGGUGCAGGGCUCUUAAAUUUUGCUGUCCGUUCCGUACAAUUGGUUCAUUGCGGUUCACUUGGCUUGAAGUGUUUGACCAAUUUGAUGUUUAUCAAAGAUUCAGAGUUUCAGCCCCCCUCUUCUGUUCAGUUGAGUACUGAAAUGACUAUUCCACCAACUCGAUGUGUUUUUUUUUUUUUUUUUUUAGAACAGCGUGUGAAGCUUUAAGCAACCUGUCUGUCUGGCGGUAGGAAAUAAAACUUAAUUUAGGUGGCUUGAUUAAAUCAUGGUGGAUUUUGAGAGAGAUCAUACAUGUGGAGACUGGGGUGGUCACCGGACUGAAGAGCCCUGAUCGCUGCAGCUCACUGACAAGAAUUAAAGAUCGGUAGUCACCUUACAACAAGAGUCCCCCAUGUCACAUGAAUUGUCACACCUGCCCUAUAUAUGUAUAUAAAUAUAUGGCUUAGACAGGCUUCCGAACAGAGGGUUGAAAAUGCUUUCAUAUUCUUCUUCCGUCAUUCCAUUCUUUGUUUCCGUUUUUAUCAGUUUAUGCAGCACAGGAGCCCUGGUAAAGCUACCGGAGAAUGGAACAAUUCCGGCUGUGAUAGUUUUCGGGGAUUCGAUCGUGGACGCAGGCAAUAACAACAAUCUUGUUACUGUGGCUAAGUCCAAUUAUCCACCCUAUGGGAGGGACUUCAGUGGAGGAAUACCAACUGGAAGAUUUAGCAAUGGCAAAAUUCCCUCCGACAUCAUUGGUUGUAACUCCCAUUCUUCUACUCUUUCCAGCAUUAUGCAUGCCCUCUUUUCUUUUCCUAUAGCUCAAAUACCUCUUUACUUUAUACCAUGUUGUCUUCGUAGGGUCUUCCAACGCACCCGAUGGACCUACUGGGUCCCCAAAGACAACGGAAACCUAGUUUACACUUCUAUCCCAUUUAUUCUAUAUUGAAAAAAAACAAAGUUCCCAAAUGUUGUAAAAAAAAAAAAAAACUCAAUUUUCACAGAUAAUUCUUGAAUGAUAAUACGUUCCUUUCCUUCUGGAUUAUUUAUUGUUGGAGAAAUUAACUAGUGUUUUCUCUCAAAUUGAGCUUCAGCUGAACUAUUGGGAAUCAAAAAGCUGUUGCCGGCAUAUUUAGACCCAACUCUUCAACCUAGUGAUCUCCUCACUGGAGUAAGCUUCGCUUCAGGCGCUUCGGGAUAUGACCCUCUAACAUCUAAGAUUCCGGUACAUAAAUUUUCCUUCAAAGAAGAUAUUGACCAUUUCUUUAACCUUAUAUUUCUAUUCAAUUUUGUUUUCAUUUUUGUGUAAAAUCAGUCAGUUUUUUCACUGUCGGAUCAAUUAGAAAUGUUCAAGGAGUACAUAGGAAAGCUGAAAGCCAUGGUUGGAGAAGAAAGAACAAACACCAUUCUAAGCAAAAGCUUGUUUUUAGUGGUACACAGUAGUAAUGACAUUACCUCUACAUAUUUCACCGUUCGGAAAGAGCAGUAUGAUUUUGCUUCUUACGCAGAUAUUCUGGUAACCUUGGCGUCUUCUUUCUUAAAGGUAAUUUCAAUUGCCAUGCUCUUCCAUUUCCAUUUCCAUUUCCUAAUAUUCAAUUAUUUAACAAUUGUCUGGUAUAAAACAAAAUUUAAAGGAACUGUAUGGAUUGGGGGCACGAAGAAUAGCUGUUUUCGGUGCACCUCCGUUAGGGUGCCUGCCAUCACAGAGAAGCUUAGCAGGAGGGAUACAAAGAGAGUGUGCUGAGAAUCUCAACGAAGCAGCCAAGUUAUUCAACACUCAGCUCUCGUCUGAAUUGGAUUCUCUCAACACCAACUUUCCCCUUGCAA